GACGAACGCUGGCGGCGUGCUUAACACAUGCAAGUCGAACGGAAAGGCCCUGCUUUUGUGGGGUGCUCGAGUGGCGAACGGGUGAGUAACACGUGAGUAACCUGCCCUUGACUUUGGGAUAACUUCAGGAAACUGGGGCUAAUACCGGAUAGGAGCUCCUGCUGCAUGGUGGGGGUUGGAAAGUUUCGGCGGUUGGGGAUGGACUCGCGGCUUAUCAGCUUGUUGGUGGGGUAGUGGCUUACCAAGGCUUUGACGGGUAGCCGGCCUGAGAGGGUGACCGGCCACAUUGGGACUGAGAUACGGCCCAGACUCCUACGGGAGGCAGCAGUGGGGAAUAUUGCAAAAUGGGCGGAAGCCUGAUGCAGCAACGCCGCGUGAGGGAUGACGGCCUUCGGGUUGUAAACCGCUUUCGCCUGUGACGAAGCGUGAGUGACGGUAAUGGGUAAAGAAGCACCGGCUAACUACGUG
Molecule: ribosomal RNA, 468 nt
Filed under: uncultured bacterium
Lineage: Bacteria
Description: partial 16S ribosomal RNA
Rfam family: Bacterial small subunit ribosomal RNA
Source: RNAcentral